Molecule: ribosomal RNA, 250 nt
Filed under: uncultured prokaryote
Description: partial 16S ribosomal RNA
Rfam family: Bacterial small subunit ribosomal RNA
Source: RNAcentral
UACGUAGGGGGCGAGCGUUGUCCGGAAUGAUUGGGCGUAAAGGGCGUGUUGGCGGCCCGGUAAGUCUGGAGUGAAAGUCCUGCUUUCAAGGUGGGAAUUGCUUUGGAUACUGCUGGGCUUGAGUGCAGGAGAGGUUAUCGGAAUUCCCGGUGUAGCGGUGAAAUGCGUAGGGAUCGGGAGGAACACCAGUGGCCAAGGCGGGUAACUGGACUGCAACUGACGCUGAGGCGCGAAAGUGUGGGGAGCAAAC